CUACGGGGCGCUGCAGUGGGGAAUAUUGGACAAUGGGCGCAAGCCUGAUCCAGCCAUGCCGCGUGGAUGAUGAAGGCCCUAGGGUUGUAAAGUCCUUUCGGCGGGGAAGAUAAUGACGGUACCCGCAGAAGAAGCCCCGGCUAACUUCGUGCCAGCAGCCGCGGUAAUACGAAGGGGGCUAGCGUUGCUCGGAAUCACUGGGCGUAUAGCGCACGUAGGCGGCUUCUUAAGUCAGGGGUGAAAUCCUGGAGCUCAACUCCAGAACUGCCUUUGAUACUGAGGAGCUCGAGUCCGGGAGAGGUGAGUGGAACUGCGAGUGUAGAGGUGAAAUUCGUAGAUAUUCGCAAGAACACCAGUGGCGAAGGCGGCUCACUGGCCCGGUACUGACGCUGAGGUGCGAAAGCGUGGGGAGCAAACAGGAUUAGAUACCCUCGUAGUC
Molecule: ribosomal RNA, 439 nt
Filed under: uncultured bacterium
Lineage: Bacteria
Description: partial 16S ribosomal RNA
Rfam family: Bacterial small subunit ribosomal RNA
Source: RNAcentral